UGCCUCUCUCGGUUAUCUUUUUAGGAGAGAAAGAAAGAUAGUUAGUUAGCGCACCUCCUUUUCUCUCUUCUUCCUUGUUCCUUGGGAGAGGCCAAGCAGCGGACGAAGGAAGGGGUUAGGAGCGGCGAAGGGAGGGAGGCAGCGGCCCUGCGGUGCCAUGCGCACCUUAGUCGCUAUUUCGCCUCCUUAAACCCGCGUCCUUCCUAAACCGGCCGCCCGAGGCCCUAGACCAGCAAACCAGUAAGAAGAAGAACAACUAAACUAGCUGACCAUCCACCCGCCUAGGUGUUCGUCGCCGUCGGUACUACUACCACCUGUGCCAGUCGCGGUCGUGGAGGAAGUAGCGCGCGGUGGGGAAGCUGGUGGUGGCCGGGGUGGCCUGGGAGGAGGUGCAGCAGUCGACGGCCGGGGACCGGUGCGGGAAGCGCCCGGCGGCGGAGCACCGGUCUUCCGUCGGCAGCGAAGGACGCGUCGUCGCCGAGCGCCUGACCGGGCAGUCCCGCGAGCGCCGCCACCCCAAGUGGUUCCUCCGGCAGGGCGCGUUCCUCAAGGCCCCCUAGGGUCCCCUGCCGCUGUUGCCUAAUCCCUGGCUGCUGCUGCGGGGGGGUCGCCGCCAUGGCAGUACCGGCGGCGCCUUGUCCCGCCUGCUGGGCUCGGACGUGUUGGGCGACGACGCGGAGCUCGCGUACCCGACGCCGACCCAGCCGCAGUAGAAGCUCACCCUCCCGCACCACCACCUCCUGCUGUGCGCCGACCUCGCCGUCCGCACCGACUGGGACCGGCUCCUCCUCCCGUUCAGGGGUGGGGGCCGCAAGCACGACGCCGCCCAGCUCCCCUACUUCCGGCUCGUGCGCCAGAGGCUCCACGAGACGACCAGGUCCCUGGGGAGCCUCGACGCCGCGGACCGCCGGGCGUUCCUCCUCUAGGUGCCGCCCAACGCGCCGCGGCGGUCGGUCUACGCCCUGCCCAGCUCCCUCAAGUACUCGUGCGACCAGUUGAUGUUCUAGGGGGAACGGCAGCGGAGGUGCGCCGGGGCGUUCCGGCAGCUCCGCCGGUAGCUCCGGCAGCCGCGCGCCCCGAAGAAACUGCGGCAGCACCGGCGCCUCCUGCACAUGGCCCCGUUCGGACUGGGCCUCGACAAGGAGAUGCGGCGCGUCGACGACCCUAAGUAGGGGCUCGCGACGCAGCACAAGCCGUUGAGGUUGAGGCGGCACCUCCGGCGCGUGCUGCGGGCAUACUUCACGCAGCGGCAGCGCUCGUUCGUGGGGCAGAUGCUCGAGCCGCGGCGGCUGGAACAACAGUUCGCGGAGCUACUCGACAGGCACCAACUGGAGUUCUUGGAGCGGCUGUAGCUGAGGGGGCUCAAACCGUACCUCGGGCUCGGCCUCUACCUCCUCCUCCUCCUGCUCCGCGGUGGCAGCUGGCGGCACCCUCAGCUGCUAUAUAAGAACAUCCUCUGGGUCCUCGACGGCCAUACAUACAUGUAAACUAAACCUUAACCGGGAAGAGGACAACGUGUGCACAUACUACCUAUUAAACGCCAUCGCUAGUCCUUCCUUCCUUCCCGAAAUAAUAGAUAGGAAGAUUAGGCACAAUCCAACACAAUACAUGUACCUUACAUAGAAAUCUUGAGUGUGUUUAACAUAUAUAUGAACCUUUUCUUUUUUCUCCCAUGAACUAUGCAUAUGCAGUCACGUAACGAAGGUCUACACCUUCCACAUUAUUAAUAUUGAGUCUUCCUUGUAUACAAAUAAACGUCACUUACCUUUUUGUCUUAAUGUAUACAAUAGACGAACAACGGACGAGACAAGGAUGAACCUCGUCGUUUUAACAGAAUCGAAGAAUAGUAGUCUGCUUUUGUUUAGAAGGUGUACAGAGAGCACACUACUACAUAUACAUAAGGACACACUACUACACGACAACUAGUCUUAAGACAAGAAAGAACGUUCCCAUAUAAUAGUUCUAGAAGGUGACAACAAAUCUCAAAACCCCUAAGUUGUUUUAGAAUAAAUACAGACACAACAUAAAAACCGUUCUUAGAACUUAUUGGUGACCUAACGUAUACUAUGAACAACGGACGAUAUAUACACAAGGAUGGACAUU
Molecule: ribosomal RNA, 2103 nt
Filed under: Triticum aestivum (bread wheat)
Lineage: Eukaryota; Viridiplantae; Streptophyta; Magnoliopsida; Poales; Poaceae
Description: partial small subunit ribosomal RNA
Source: RNAcentral